Molecule: ribosomal RNA, 371 nt
Filed under: uncultured bacterium
Lineage: Bacteria
Description: bacterial SSU rRNA
Rfam family: Bacterial small subunit ribosomal RNA
Source: RNAcentral
AGAGGGUGCGAGCGUUGUCCGGAAUCACUGGGCGUAAAGGGCGCGUAGGCGGUUUCUCGCGCGUGCGGUGAAAGCCCGGGGCUCAACUCCGGGUCGGCCGUGCGAACGGAGGAGCUGGAGUCUGGUAGAGGUCGAUGGAAUUCCGGGUGUAGCGGUGGAAUGCGUAGAGAUCCGGAAGAACACCGGUGGCGAAGGCGGUCGACUGGGCCAGUACUGACGCUGAGGCGCGACAGCGUGGGGAGCAAACAGGAUUAGAUACCCUGGUAGUCCACGCCGUAAACGAUGGGCACUAGAUCCUUGGGGGAGCGACCCCCUGAGGGUCGGCGCUAACGCAUUAAGUGCCCCGCCUGGGGAGUACGGUCGCAAGGCUG